GAAUCUUAUUUAUGUAGGUAAUUAGUAGAUAAUUGAGUAGAAUUAGCUUAUCAAAUAAGUAAUCCUAACAAAAAGAGGAAUUGGAUCCAAUCAUUUGCUAGCAAGGUUACCAUGAACCCAAUGAAUUUCUUUAAACCCAAUUGACACUUCAUAAGCUCAAUUUCUUAUUCCAGACCUAAUCCCUUUGUUAUGUGACCCC
RNAcentral lists this long non-coding RNA (199 nucleotides) under Elaeis guineensis (African oil palm). Its description in RNAcentral is "long non-coding RNA (EGUI_LNC008321)". Lineage: Eukaryota; Viridiplantae; Streptophyta; Magnoliopsida; Arecales; Arecaceae. The record is from RNAcentral.